AAGUGCAUUGAUUGCCUUUUCAUUCUUAUGUCAUGAUCUGUACACCCUGUCUGUGUUUGAGGUGGUCACUUAGUUACUGAUUUAACAAGGCAUAGUGCAGCCAAGUCAUUUGGAAGCCAGUCUUUGCAUCUCCUUUUCCUGCCAUGAAUUGUUUUCCCUCCUUUUUGGUUUAAUUAGGACGUGACUUCACUUAGAUGUAGAAAUAUAUGCAUGAAUUGCUUUCCCUCCUUCACAGCCUCAGUUAUCAGUUUAUCAUUUCCAGUGCAAGUCUGUAGGUUUGCUUAUGGUCAUUGUUCUGCGAAGAUAUUGGUGAACUUUUACUCAACUCUCCUGCUAUCAACAGCAUUUCAUUGUGAUGAGAUAAGUUCUAUGUUAGUAACUCGGUUGUGACUUGUUUGUAAGUUGUAGAGUUCUCAUGGGCGCUGAAUUUUACACGGUCCAAUUUAUGUGAGCUGGGGGAGUAUAAUUUGGGUCAUAAAAGGGGAUGUAAUUUGGUUCAUCCAUAGGUUAGAGCUGCAUUAACAAUGAAUUUGGCAAAUAAUAUGUUUAGGGAAAUAAAAAUUCGUUUAGAUUAAACCUUUGAACUUGCAGUAAAUUUCAUUUGGGUUCAUCCAUGCUGACUAAGAAUCAACUCGG
RNAcentral lists this long non-coding RNA (636 nucleotides) under Eucalyptus grandis. RNAcentral's name for it is "long non-coding RNA (EGRA_LNC007709)". Lineage: Eukaryota; Viridiplantae; Streptophyta; Magnoliopsida; Myrtales; Myrtaceae. The record is from RNAcentral.